AUUGAACGCUGGCGGCAGGCCUAACACAUGCAAGUCGAGCGGUAGAGAGAAGCUUGCUUCUCUUGAGAGCGGCGGACGGGUGAGUAAUGCCUAGGAAUCUGCCUGGUAGUGGGGGAUAACGUUCGGAAACGGACGCUAAUACCGCAUACGUCCUACGGGAGAAAGCAGGGGACCUUCGGGCCUUGCGCUAUCAGAUGAGCCUAGGUCGGAUUAGCUAGUUGGUGAGGUAAUGGCUCACCAAGGCGACGAUCCGUAACUGGUCUGAGAGGAUGAUCAGUCACACUGGAACUGAGACACGGUCCAGACUCCUACGGGAGGCAGCAGUGGGGAAUAUUGGACAAUGGGCGAAAGCCUGAUCCAGCCAUGCCGCGUGUGUGAAGAAGGUCUUCGGAUUGUAAAGCACUUUAAGUUGGGAGGAAGGGCAGUAAAUUAAUACUUUGCUGUUUUGACGUUACCGACAGAAUAAGCACCGGCUAACUCUGUGCCAGCAGCCGCGGUAAUACAGAGGGUGCAAGCGUUAAUCGGAAUUACUGGGCGUAAAGCGCGCGUAGGUGGUUUGUUAAGUUGGAUGUGAAAUCCCCGGGCUCAACCUGGGAACUGCAUUCAAAACUGACUGACUAGAGUAUGGUAGAGGGUGGUGGAAUUUCCUGUGUAGCGGUGAAAUGCGUAGAUAUAGGAAGGAACACCAGUGGCGAAGGCGACCACCUGGACUAAUACUGACACUGAGGUGCGAAAGCGUGGGGAGCAAACAGGAUUAGAUGCCCUGGUAGUCCACGCCGUAAACGAUGUCAACUAGCCGUUGGAAGCCUUGAGCUUUUAGUGGCGCAGCUAACGCAUUAAGUUGACCGCCUGGGGAGUACGGCCGCAAGGUUAAAACUCAAAUGAAUUGACGGGGGCCCGCACAGGCGGUGGAGCAUGUGGUUUAAUUCGAAGCAACGCGAAGAACCUUACCAGGCCUUGACAUCCAAUGAACUUUCUAGAGAUAGAUUGGUGCCUUCGGGAACAUUGAGACAGGUGCUGCAUGGCUGUCGUCAGCUCGUGUCGUGAGAUGUUGGGUUAAGUCCCGUAACGAGCGCAACCCUUGUCCUUAGUUACCAGCACGUAAUGGUGGGCACUCUAAGGAGACUGCCGGUGACAAACCGGAGGAAGGUGGGGAUGACGUCAAGUCAUCAUGGCCCUUACGGCCUGGGCUACACACGUGCUACAAUGGUCGGUACAGAGGGUUGCCAAGCCGCGAGGUGGAGCUAAUCCCAUAAAACCGAUCGUAGUCCGGAUCGCAGUCUGCAACUCGACUGCGUGAAGUCGGAAUCGCUAGUAAUCGCGAAUCAGAAUGUCGCGGUGAAUACGUUCCCGGGCCU
This 1358-nucleotide ribosomal RNA is filed under the name uncultured bacterium. RNAcentral describes it as "bacterial SSU rRNA". It matches the Rfam family "Bacterial small subunit ribosomal RNA", at positions 28 to 1381 of the family's 1533-position model. The record is from RNAcentral.